CCAUGCGAGUAUGGCUGGUUUUCUGCCUUCUCGCCAUUGGCAUUCAGGCUUAUCACGUUGGUUCUUCUAGCUCUUCGGAUGACGUAAACUCACCAACAAAGCACGGUGUAAAGAAGUUAUCCAUGGCCAGCGCUUUUUUUAGCUUAGCCUCGAUCAUAAAAAAUGCUCUACUCGUCAUAAUGAGCGGAAAGAAAAUACACGAAGAAGGGGUGGGGGU
Molecule: long non-coding RNA, 217 nt
Organism: Cydia amplana
Lineage: Eukaryota; Metazoa; Arthropoda; Insecta; Lepidoptera; Tortricidae
Exons: 4
Source: RefSeq, a predicted model, not a curated record